UCCUAUGUGGUCUAGUGGUUAGGAUUCCUGGCUCUCUCCCAGGUUCGAUUCCCGGCGUGGGAA
RNAcentral lists this transfer RNA (63 nucleotides) under Caerostris extrusa. Its description in RNAcentral is "tRNA-Ser". It matches the Rfam family "tRNA". Rfam says of the family: Transfer RNA (tRNA) molecules are approximately 80 nucleotides in length. Their secondary structure includes four short double-helical elements and three loops (D, anti-codon, and T loops). Further hydrogen bonds mediate the characteristic L-shaped molecular structure. tRNAs have two regions of fundamental functional importance: the anti-codon, which is responsible for specific mRNA codon recognition, and the 3' end, to which the tRNAs corresponding amino acid is attached (by aminoacyl-tRNA synthetases). tRNAs cope with the degeneracy of the genetic code in two manners: having more than one tRNA (with a specific anti-codon) for a particular amino acid; and 'wobble' base-pairing, i.e. permitting non-standard base-pairing at the 3rd anti-codon position. The record is from RNAcentral. Lineage: Eukaryota; Metazoa; Arthropoda; Arachnida; Araneae; Araneidae.